Molecule: transfer RNA, 76 nt
Filed under: uncultured Acetobacteraceae bacterium
Lineage: Bacteria; Pseudomonadati; Pseudomonadota; Alphaproteobacteria; Acetobacterales; Acetobacteraceae
Also listed under: 1 other name
Description: tRNA-His-GTG
Rfam family: tRNA
About the family: Transfer RNA (tRNA) molecules are approximately 80 nucleotides in length.
Source: RNAcentral
GCGGCCAUAGCUCAGUUGGUAGAGCGCCAGGUUGUGGUCUUGGAUGUCACGGGUUCAAAUCCCGUUGGUCGCCCCA